GCUGCUGCGUCCAAGCUGGGUGCUCUCCGAGCGCAGGGAGGCAGGCUGCGAUCGGCGGGGCGCAGCUGGGGGAGCCCAGGCCGGCGAACCUGCGCGCGAUCUCCGCGGGUCCCCGGCGCCGAGGCCAGGACGGCCGGCGCUUUGGCCUUGGAUGGAAAUGGGGACUGGUCCUCCGGGCCCUCUACCGUGGAUUACUUGGUGCAUCUCUGCCGGGCUUGAUGAACCACGACCUCGUCUCCAUCCGUGGAUUGGUGCGUGCUACCCAAUAGUCGGGUCGUUUCCCUGGAGCCUAAGGAUCUCCAGUGAUUUCUUUGAGCCUAAUGAUGGGGAAGCUGAGAAUGGAGCUAUUAUUUUUAAACACCUUUUGAAAUACUACUCUUCCUGGUUUCUGAAGUGAAAUCAGAGG
Molecule: long non-coding RNA, 406 nt
Filed under: Bos indicus x Bos taurus (hybrid cattle)
Lineage: Eukaryota; Metazoa; Chordata; Mammalia; Artiodactyla; Bovidae
Description: lncRNA (ENSBIXG00005031058.1)
Source: RNAcentral